RNAcentral lists this ribosomal RNA (692 nucleotides) under uncultured bacterium. RNAcentral's name for it is "bacterial SSU rRNA". It matches the Rfam family "Bacterial small subunit ribosomal RNA", at positions 141 to 851 of the family's 1533-position model. The record is from RNAcentral.
GGAUAACAGUUGGAAACGGCUGCUAAUACCGCAUAAGCGCACAGCAUCGCAUGAUGCAGUGUGAAAAACUCCGGUGGUAUAAGAUGGACCCGCGUUGGAUUAGCUAGUUGGUGAGGUAACGGCCCACCAAGGCGACGAUCCAUAGCCGACCUGAGAGGGUGACCGGCCACAUUGGGACUGAGACACGGCCCAAACUCCUACGGGAGGCAGCAGUGGGGAAUAUUGCACAAUGGGCGAAAGCCUGAUGCAGCGACGCCGCGUGAGCGAAGAAGUAUUUCGGUAUGUAAAGCUCUAUCAGCAGGGAAGAUAAUGACGGUACCUGACUAAGAAGCACCGGCUAAAUACGUGCCAGCAGCCGCGGUAAUACGUAUGGUGCAAGCGUUAUCCGGAUUUACUGGGUGUAAAGGGAGCGCAGGCGGUGCGGCAAGUCUGAUGUGAAAGCCCGGGGCUCAACCCCGGUACUGCAUUGGAAACUGUCGUACUAGAGUGUCGGAGGGGUAAGCGGAAUUCCUAGUGUAGCGGUGAAAUGCGUAGAUAUUAGGAGGAACACCAGUGGCGAAGGCGGCUUACUGGACGAUAACUGACGCUGAGGCUCGAAAGCGUGGGGAGCAAACAGGAUUAGAUACCCUGGUAGUCCACGCCGUAAACGACGAAUACGAGGUGUUGGGAAGCAUUGCUUCUCGGUGCCGUCG